ACUACUUGCUAAAAUCUAUGAGACAUGGCUAAGAAAGAACUCAUAGGAAAUUUUUUUGUAAAACAAAUACCACCCAAGAAACCGGAGAGACUGGGCCGGCCCAGAGCGCGUGCGUGCCGCGUGGCAGGCUGCGCAAGCGCUGUGGGAUCCCGGGCCGGCAUGCGCCGUGCCGUCCUGCAGCUUCCAGGCUGGGCCCCGGAGGUGCGCGCAGACGUAGUGGUUUCAAAUACCGGGCUUCCCUGAUGGACGGGGAAUAUUAUCGCAAACCUUAGGCAAAGCUGACUGAGGAGGAGGUAUGAGACCAGCGCAGGAAGACUCAGCUCAUCAAAGUGGCCCAACAGCGAAAAUAAACUCGGUGCUGGGAGACCCAGUGACCAGUAAACUGACGAACACGAGGAAACAAGUACUGUGGCCAGACCCCUAACGAUGGAGCUGUGCAAAGAGAGCAGAUUGAGCUGUGCCGCGCUGCUUCUGCAGAGGGACAGCUGACCAUUGAACAUAACUCCUAGGCCGCCUUCCACCAGAUCCUGGAAAUCCCCAAGCCUGUGGGGGCGGUCCCCAUCCUCAAGGGUGGCCUUUUCUACCUGGUCCCUGCACGGGCAGCUGACCCAAGUGCGGCCGUCUUCCUGUUCUGGCGUGCUGGGAGAAGCAGCUUCAGCGGAGGGAGGGGGCCUGAGAAGCUGUCGCGCCAGCUGCUGGCGGCUCUCCACAACCAAGGCAGGUGAUUAGAAGGAAGCAUGAGCAACCUGGGAUGGUGGAGGCCAGCGGCACACCCUGGCCAGAAACCGCUGCUGGUAGAGGGCGGGUAGAGGCCCCAGGAGGAGCCCAGGGCCCUCUGCCACGUGGAGAAAUAACCUGCAGCUUGAGGAUGUUCCUUUUAAGGGCAAGCGUCACAAGGCGCAGCAGCGAGCGUGUUGAUUGCUCCUUAAGCCUUCUUUUUGGGGCUUGAACUUGCUCUCCCUGACUCAAGUCUCGCAAAGGAGAAACAUGUCGUUGAGGGGAUUUCUCCCAAUAAACUCAGAGUCCAUCCAGUCAACUCUUCCCUGAGCUUCAGGUGGACUUUUGGAUGAUAGGAAAAGACGCAGAUUUGGGAGCAGAAAAGGUUUAUUAAAAAAUUCUCACCCUGAACAGGUAGGGUACCCUGUUAGGUAGUAUCCUCAUUUAUUAAAACUGACUGGAGGCGGGGGGGAAUGAAAUUAAACAAAUGGGAAAAAUGGGAUAUUGAAAUUAAGAAGGAUAAAAAAGAUAUGAAUUAUAUAUGCAAAUGUGUAUGAACUAUAAAAGUCCCCAGCAAGGCUAAAUAAAACCAAAGGAGAGGAACAUGGCCCAUCAUGGGAGAGGAAUGGUGUGGAUUAGGGAUAGAGAGAAAAGUGUUCUUUCUAACCAGAAGUGGACUUUGGUCCUUACAGCAGUCAAGGAGACCUUCAAACUUUCAUUCCUUCUACUGGCUCCUUUUCCUUGGAAAAUGACCUCUGGCUUCAAAAAAAAAAAAAAAAAAACAAAAAACAAAACUUUUCAUUUAAAACUAAAGAGACUGUAUUAUUUAUCAUACCAAGUGUGUAAACUUUUAAGAAUGAAAGUGAUCCUAUAAGCAGGUACACCAGGACAACUGGUGAAAACCUGGGUUUAGGAUUAUCAUGCUUUAUGAUGUAUGUUAUCAUAUUGAUUCAGUAAUUACUGCUUAACACCUUUAUAAUGUAUAUCAUGUUGAUUCAGUAUUUACUGCUUAGCAUAACAUGAUCAUGCUUUGUAAUGUAUAUUAUCAUCUUGAUGCGAUAAUUACUGCUUAACACCUAGAACAGGUUUGUAAUCUCAAGAUAGGUGCAAGAAACUAAAAGGACAUCUAAAUAUUCUGACACCUUUAGCUAAAUGUGUUUUUUACUGUCUUCCACAUUGAAUUAUCAUAUUGUUUAGACACACCUGAUGAAAGCAAUGUAACUAUACUACAAAUUAUGGUAAAUACUGCAUGGAAACUUUAUCCAAAUGAGGUAGAUUUUUUUUCAAUUAAUUAAAGAUAUUACUUGUUGCUAAAAUGAGAAAGGGUUCAACCUCAAUUUUAAUCAUUUUUUUGUUUAUAGAGACAAGUGCUGAGUAUUGUUUAUAAAAAUAUUAAUAAUAGUUCCACCUAUAUAUGUAUUAUAUGCUAGGCAUACAUGUAUAUUAUUAACUAGUGAGUCUUGUAAUUAUUAUAUGUUAGUCCAUUCUCAUAUAUUAACACAAUUAUUCAUUGAAAUUACCCAUAGAUAGUAUUUCUCAUUCCCAUUUUAUAAUUUUUACCUUUUAUUUCUCUAUGCAUCAGAUUCUUCAUUUAUCAAAAAGAGGUAAUGGUAAUACCUCUGUUUUGCAAAAUGGAUUUUAAAAGAGUGAUGGAGAGGAGAACUGGUGUGAGAAGUCCUAAGGUAAAUCCAUUUUAGGAACUAGCACCCAAAGAAGAGAAUUGGGAGAAUUGAUCUAGAACAAAGCUGGCCCUUUGGAAGUCUUUUGGAAACUCCUAUCCCACUUGCUCAGGCUGUAUUCCAAUUUAAAGACACAAGAGAUCAACACACUAACCUGAAUUCACAUCUCAUUUUGCCUUUGCCGGCUGCUAUUCAUUUUACUAGUCUUCACAAAGGACUGCCACAAGAAUAACAGCUUCUUUUAUUUCAAAAUUUAAAUUUUAGAGAUACAGCUUAUGGAGGAGGAAAGUUGUUUUAAGUCACUGAAACACCCAAAGAAAAUAUAUCUGACAAUGUUACUGAGAAUCUUCAAGUUUGAAGGAAGAAGCUCGUAGCAGUGGACAGAGAUAGGGGUGGUGGCUGCUGCCAGGUGACUCAAAGUAGGACAUUUGUCACUGCUACUGCUGCUCUCCAUAAGGUGCUGAAUCCCUGACCCCAACCCACUAAGGGCUGCAACAUCUUAGAGGUGCCAAAUGAAGCUGUACUUUCUCUGAGUCUUCCAGGUAGUGGAACCAUGUGAUAAUCUGAAGAGAAAUAAAGAGAAAUAAAGAGAAUGCACCUCACACCCUGA
Long non-coding RNA from Felis catus (domestic cat), 3006 nucleotides. RefSeq lists it as uncharacterized. The transcript is spliced from 2 exons. The record is from RefSeq and is a predicted model, not a curated record. NCBI's taxonomy places the organism in Eukaryota, Metazoa, Chordata, Mammalia, Carnivora, Felidae.